This 522-nucleotide ribosomal RNA is filed under the name uncultured Enterobacterales bacterium. Its description in RNAcentral is "bacterial SSU rRNA". It matches the Rfam family "Bacterial small subunit ribosomal RNA", at positions 48 to 561 of the family's 1533-position model. Lineage: Bacteria; Pseudomonadati; Pseudomonadota; Gammaproteobacteria; Enterobacterales. The record is from RNAcentral.
CUAACACAUGCAAGUCGAGCGGUAACACAGGGAGCUUGCUCCCGGGUGACGAGCGGCGGACGGGUGAGUAAUGUCUGGGAAACUGCCUGAUGGAGGGGGAUAACUACUGGAAACGGUAGCUAAUACCGCAUAACGUCGCAAGACCAAAGAGGGGGACCUUCGGGCCUCUUGCCAUCAGAUGUGCCCAGAUAGGAUUAGCUAGUAGGUGGGGUAACGGCUCACCUAGGCGACGAUCCCUAGCUAGUCUGAGAGGAUGACCAGCCACACUGGAACUGAGACACGGUCCAGACUCCUACGGGAGGCAGCAGUGGGGAAUAUUGCACAAUGGGCGCAAGCCUGAUGCAGCCAUGCCGCGUGUAUGAAGAAGGCCUUCGGGUUGUAAAGUACUUUCAGCGGGGAGGAAGGUGUUGUGGUUAAUAACCGCAGCAAUUGACGUUACCCGCAGAAGAAGCACCGGCUAACUCCGUGCCAGCAGCCGCGGUAAUACGGAGGGUGCAAGCGUUAAUCGGAAUUACUGGGCGU